CUGCGCGCUCCCGGCUCGAGGGGCGGGGGUGAUGGAGACGCGGCGAUCCGGGCAGGCCCGGAACCUCGGGCGCCUCCUCCCAGGUUCAGCCCAGCGACCCGAGCUAGGGACUUGGAGAGGCGCGCCGCGGAGCGCGGAGCCGAGUCCAACCGCCGCGCGGGUGGAGGGUGCACUGGGCGCGGGCAUCCGGAGCAAGCCGGCGCUGCUCGGAUGAUGCCUGAUAGGUCCGGACCCGUAAGUUGAGGGAUGCAGACUGGGGCAUCGCCGGGAACUUACAGCGUAGACGCAUAUUAAACCUGAUGGAAAGUCGAGGGCUCUCCGGGCUCCGGGUCAUCCUGGCAUCUUGCUUGCCGCGACGGGUCCCCCUCUGUGACCGCAGCUGCCGUUGGAGCCGAGCAACCUCUGCCAAGCCUGCCAGGUUCCAAUGUUCCAUCAGAGGCUUUAGCUAAGUUCUGGACUUCUCUCAGAACUCUUGAGAACCUGGGUGUUUCUACUCGAUUACACAGGACGAAUGACCUCUAAUAGAGAUGAUUCAAAUUGGGGAUAUACUUUUUACAAACUUAAAAAUUAUGUUUAGAAAUUAAUGACAUGGGGAAAUACUCAUAUUUUUAAAUGAAAAACUCAUGUUGCAAAAUCGGACCUCGAUUUUAAAAACGGAAAGAAAUGUACCAAAAUAUUUACAGAAGCUAUGGUGAUAGGAUAAUAGGUUUUUGUUUUCUUUGCAAUUUUCUGGUUUCCCAGAUGUUCCACAUUGAACAUGACCUUGAGUACAAAAAGAAGUGACUAUAGGAUGAGUCAUUGUUUGGGGGUUAAAUUUUGCCCCCAAAUGGGUACAUCAAAGUCAGAAACCCCGGUAUCUGUGAAUGUGACCCUAUUUCCAAGUAGGGGUUUUUUUUUUGCAGAUGUAAUCAAGUUGAGAUCCUAUUGAAGUAGGUUAUAUGACUAGUGUCCCUGUAAAAAGAGGAGAGACAAAGAAACCGCCGCCCCCCUCAGGGGAAACACCAUGUGAAGACAGAGAAAGAGACUGGAGUGGUACAUCUGAGUCAAGAAAUGCCCGGGAUAGCUGGCACCACCGGAAGCCAAGAAGAGGCCAGGAAGGACCCUCCCCUAAGGACAGCGUGGCCCUGUCAGCACCUAAUUGCAGACAUCUAGCCUCCAGAACUGUGAGACAAUACAUUUUUGUUGUUUUAAAUGA
Long non-coding RNA from Bubalus bubalis (water buffalo), 1195 nucleotides. RefSeq lists it as uncharacterized. The transcript has 2 exons. The record is from RefSeq and is a predicted model, not a curated record. Lineage: Eukaryota; Metazoa; Chordata; Mammalia; Artiodactyla; Bovidae.